GAUGAACGCUGGCGGCGUGCCUAAUACAUGCAAGUCGAGCGAACGGACGAGAAGCUUGCUUCUCUGCUGUUAGCGGCGGACGGGUGAGUAACACGUGGAUAACCUACCUAUAAGACUGGGAUAACUUCGGGAAACCGGAGCUAAUACCGGAUAAUAUUUUGAAUCGCAUGGUUCAAAAGUGAAAGACGGUCUUGCUGUCACUUAUAGAUGGAUCCGCGCUGCAUUAGCUAGUUGGUAAGGUAACGGCUUACCAAGGCAACGAUGCAUAGCCGACCUGAGAGGGUGAUCGGCCACACUGGAACUGAGACACGGUCCAGACUCCUACGGGAGGCAGCAGUAGGGAAUCUUCCGCAAUGGGCGAAAGCCUGACGGAGCAACGCCGCGUGAGGGAUGAAGGUCUUCGGAUCGUAAAACUCUGUUAUUAGGGAAGAACAUAUGUGUAAGUAACUGUGCACAUCUUGACGGUACCUAAUCAGAAAGCCACGGCUAACUACGUG
RNAcentral lists this ribosomal RNA (497 nucleotides) under uncultured bacterium. RNAcentral's name for it is "partial 16S ribosomal RNA". It matches the Rfam family "Bacterial small subunit ribosomal RNA", at positions 28 to 507 of the family's 1533-position model. The record is from RNAcentral.